AUGCAGGUUACCCGCGACAGGACGGAAAGACCCCGUGGAGCUUUACUGUAGCCUGAUAUUGAAAUUCGGCACAGCUUGUACAGGAUAGGUAGGAGCCUUUGAAACGUGAGCGCUAGCUUACGUGGAGGCGUUGGUGGGAUACUACCCUAGCUGUGUUGGCUUUCUAACCCGCACCACUUAUCGUGGUGGGAGACAGUGUCAGGCGGGCAGUUUGACUGGGGCGGUCGCCUCCUAAAAG
Molecule: ribosomal RNA, 238 nt
Filed under: Staphylococcus sp. HMSC072E01
Lineage: Bacteria; Bacillati; Bacillota; Bacilli; Caryophanales; Staphylococcaceae
Description: partial 23S ribosomal RNA
Rfam family: Bacterial large subunit ribosomal RNA
Source: RNAcentral